AGUGAACGCUGGCGGUAGGCCUAACACAUGCAAGUCGAACGGCAGCACAGUAAGAGCUUGCUCUUACGGGUGGCGAGUGGCGGACGGGUGAGGAAUACAUCGGAAUCUACUUUUUCGUGGGGGGUAACGUAGGGAAACUUACGCUAAUACCGCAUACGACCUACGGGUGAAAGCAGGGGAUCUUCAGACCUUGCGCGAUUGAAUGAGCCGAUGUCGGAUUAGCUAGUUGGCGGGGUAAAGGCCCACCAAGGCGACGAUCCGUAGCUGGUCUGGGAGGAUGAUCAGCCACACUGGAACUGAGACACGGUCCAGACUCCUACGGGAGGCAGCAGUGGGGAAUAUUGGACAAUGGGCGCAAGCCUGAUCCAGCCAUACCGCGUGGGUGAAGAAGGCCUUCGGGUUGUAAAGCCCUUUUGUUGGGAAAGAAAAGCAGCAGGUUAAUACCCCGCUGUUCUGACGGUACCCAAAGAAUAAGCACCGGCUAACUUCGUG
Molecule: ribosomal RNA, 492 nt
Filed under: uncultured bacterium
Lineage: Bacteria
Description: partial 16S ribosomal RNA
Rfam family: Bacterial small subunit ribosomal RNA
Source: RNAcentral